Molecule: long non-coding RNA, 602 nt
Filed under: Physcomitrium patens
Lineage: Eukaryota; Viridiplantae; Streptophyta; Bryopsida; Funariales; Funariaceae
Description: long non-coding RNA (PPAT_LNC009751)
Source: RNAcentral
AAAAAUUAUAUCAACCUCUUUACAAUUUUUUAGUACAUCUUAUAAUAAAUAAGAUAUAAAAAGAAGAAAUAAUCAAUUAUAGAGUUCUAUUUUGUUAAAUGAGUAUUUAUAUAUAUUAUUAAUUCUUAUUAGACAUUAUGUAAAUGAUUAAUAACUGCAACUGUAUUGUGGACAAUAGUGAAUACAUUAUUAAAUAGUUGCCAUGGCCAUGGUGGGUUUUGUAGUCACAGUUGUCAUAGCUAUCAUGUAGCCUAACAAAGAAAAUAUUUAUAUAUUAAUAGUUAGACUAAAUGUUAGUGUAUUUGCACUAAAAAUUCCACAUUAUUAAACCAUGGACUUAUGUCAUGUAAGAACUUAAGGAAAAAAUUUACUUUUAAACAAUUAAUUUACUUGAAUCCUUGAUGGUUGAAAGGUGAGCUCAUUAAUAUCAACGUUGGAUGCUGUAGAUUUCUCAUUCAACAAGUUGAUUGGUUUGUGAGGAUUUUAUUUCAUUUUAUUUAUUAAUUAAUUUAUUGUUUAGCAAAAUAUAAUCUUUUUAUCACCUUUAAAUAGGUAUUAGUAUUUAUAAAGCAAUUUUAUUUUUGUUAGCUUAGAGGAAGCAA